Molecule: ribosomal RNA, 300 nt
Filed under: uncultured Gallibacterium sp.
Lineage: Bacteria; Pseudomonadati; Pseudomonadota; Gammaproteobacteria; Pasteurellales; Pasteurellaceae
Description: bacterial SSU rRNA
Rfam family: Bacterial small subunit ribosomal RNA
Source: RNAcentral
GCUAACGGGGGGCGGGCAGACGGGGUAAUAGGAGGGGUGCAAGUGGUAGUCGGAAUUAUGGGGCGUACAGGGCGCGUAGACGGAAGGCUAAGUCAACGGUUAAAGUCCCCGGCCUAACUGGGGACCAGCAGUAGGUACUGGCAAGCGAGAGGAUGGAAGAGAGAAGUGGAAUUCUCGGAGUAGCGGUAAAAUGCGUAGAUCUCGAGAGGAACACCGAUGGCGAAGGCAGCUUCUUGGUCCAUUUCUGACGUUGAGGCGCGAAAGCGUGGGGAGCAAACAGGAUUAGAUACCCUGGUAGUC